GCCCCUGUAGCAGAACUGGCAUAUGCACAUGGUUAAGGCCCAUGGUUUUCUGAGGGUUCGAAUCCCUCCAGGGGUA
RNAcentral lists this transfer RNA (76 nucleotides) under Lachnospiraceae bacterium. RNAcentral describes it as "tRNA-Leu". It matches the Rfam family "tRNA". Rfam says of the family: Transfer RNA (tRNA) molecules are approximately 80 nucleotides in length. Their secondary structure includes four short double-helical elements and three loops (D, anti-codon, and T loops). Lineage: Bacteria; Bacillati; Bacillota; Clostridia; Lachnospirales; Lachnospiraceae. The record is from RNAcentral.